This 214-nucleotide small RNA is filed under the name Arsenophonus endosymbiont of Trialeurodes vaporariorum. RNAcentral describes it as "GlmZ_SraJ". The stretch from base 3 to 167 matches the Rfam family "Glm Y RNA activator of glmS mRNA". From Rfam's summary of the family: This family consists of a number of bacterial RNA genes of around 167 bases in length. The function of this RNA is unknown. The record is from RNAcentral. Lineage: Bacteria; Pseudomonadati; Pseudomonadota; Gammaproteobacteria; Enterobacterales; Morganellaceae.
GUAGUCGCUGAUUCAACUUUUUAUGUUGGUCCCAAUAUAGAGAGAUGCACACCACAUAAGCCAGGAAUGAUGCCAAAAGUCAGGUGUCUGCCGUCCAGCAGCAUGAUAUUUGCUUAUAAACAAGCUUUAUCAAACAUCGGGCGACACGUGGAGUGAGGCACCAUCUAUUAAAAAUUCUCUGUGCUCCUCGCCAAUAUCGGUGGGGCGCAGUGAA